AUGGGUAUGUUGGAAUGGGAGACAAAUUCCGUUAAGGCCGGAAGGGUUAGUAGCCGUGCAAGUUCAAGUCUUGCUACCUAUA
This 82-nucleotide transfer RNA is filed under the name Epichloe typhina. RNAcentral's name for it is "tRNA-Leu". The record is from RNAcentral. RNAcentral also lists the same sequence under 4 other names. Lineage: Eukaryota; Fungi; Ascomycota; Sordariomycetes; Hypocreales; Clavicipitaceae.